AACGGAGGGGGCAAGCGUUACUCGGAAUCACUGGGCGUAAAGGGCGCGUAGGCGGCUUAGCAAGUCUGGUGUGAAAGCCCAGGGCUCAACCCUGGAAGGGCACUGGAAACUGUUAGGCUUGAGUUCCGGAGAGGAGGGGGGAAUUCCCGGUGUAGCGGUGAAAUGCGUAGAUAUCGGGAGGAAUACCGGUGGGGAAGGCGCCCCUCUGGACGGAAACUGACGCUGAGGCGCGUGAGCGUGGGGAGCAAACAGG
Molecule: ribosomal RNA, 253 nt
Filed under: uncultured bacterium
Lineage: Bacteria
Description: partial 16S ribosomal RNA
Rfam family: Bacterial small subunit ribosomal RNA
Source: RNAcentral